Molecule: long non-coding RNA, 5285 nt
Filed under: Brassica napus (rape)
Lineage: Eukaryota; Viridiplantae; Streptophyta; Magnoliopsida; Brassicales; Brassicaceae
Description: long non-coding RNA (BNAP_LNC002266)
Source: RNAcentral
GGGCAAGUGUUACCAACUUUGUUCGUCAAGUCGACACUUUUGGUCUCUUUGCUAAAUGUUACCAAUGUAAACCACCGGUUCCAGCUGCAGCCUGUUAAUCUUUUACCAACCGCUUGUGUUACACAACGAUCACAAUGUGUUACACACGAGUUCGAGAGAAAGAAUAAGAUAGACGUUUCAGGCUUAUAAACUUUUCUGAAAAUACUUUUGUAUUAUUGAGAUUCGGUAAUGUGUUUACAACAGAUGAUUGAUCUUUAUAUAGAGAUCGAAUCAAUACAAGUAUAAGAGACACAACUCUUUAUACUAAAGGACACAACUUGAAGAGUUACAACUCUUUGUGUAAUAACAUAAAUAACUAACUUAUGUAAAUGUAUCAAGGAGAGAUUAGAUUAUAGAGUUUAACACUCCUCCUUAAUCAUAUCUCGACUUGACUCCAAGCUGCUUCCUUAGAUCUUCAAAUCUUGAACCACCCAAUGCCUUUGUGAGAAUGUCUGCGAGUUGAUCAUCCCCUUUGCAAUACUUCAGUUCAAUGAUUCCCUUUUGCUCAGCUUCCCUCACGAAAUGGUACUUGAUCUCUAUGUGCUUCGUCCUUCUGUGUUGCACCGGAUUCUUCCCAAUUGCUAUUGCUGAUUUGUUGUCACAUAAGAUCGGAAUGCCUCCUUCAAACUUCUGACCAAAGUCUUCAAAUAGUCUUUGUAACCACACUGCUUGAUUUGCUGCUGCACACACGGCUAUGUACUCUGCCUCAGCCGUUGAUUGCGCCACUGUUUGUUGCUUGCUUGACUGCCAACAAAACAUGGCUGAUCCAAGAGUAAACACAUAACCUGAAGUGCUUUUCUUGUCUUCCUUAGAACCACCCCAAUCGCUGUCCGUGUAGCCUAGAAGUCUUGGUUCUUUCACGCUUGUGAAGUACACUCCAAAGUUUGAUGUUCCUUUGACAUAUCUUAACACCCUCUUGGCUUCUUGGUAGUGCUUCAUGCGAGGUGAUGACAUGUAUCUUGAGAGAUAGGCGCUUGCAUACAUCACAUCAGGUCUUGAUGCACACAAGUACAAAAGCCCUCCAAUGAUGCUUCUAUACUUAGUCGGAUCUCCAUACUCCUUGUCAUCCUCAACUCCUUUUCCUUGUGGUGUAAGUGGGUUGCUUACACUCUUGCUGUCUCGCAUCCCAAACUUGUCUACAAGUUUGUUUGCAUACUUUUCUUGUGAAAGAAAUAUGCCUCCAUUGUCUUGAAUUACUUCCAUUCCAAGAAAGUAGUUCAACAAUCCAAGAUCCACCAUCUCGAAUUCUUUCUUCAUGUUCUCCUUGAAUGUGUUGAUGCUCUGAAUGUUGCUUCCUGUGAUGAUUAUAUCAUCCACAUAUAGACUCACGAUCAACACAUCUCCUCCUUGCUUCAUGAUGUAUAAGGCCGCAUCAUUCAUACUCCUCUCAAAACCGUUUUGAAGAAAGUAUGAAUCUAUCCUUCCAUACCAUGCCCUUGGGGCUUGCUUUAAACCAUAUAAAGCUUUGUGUAGCCUUAACACCUUGUGUUCCUUCCCGUGUGUCACAUACCCAGGCGGUUGUGUGACAUACACUUCUUCCUUGAGGUCGCCAUUGAGAAAGGCUGACUUCACAUCCAUCUGAUACAAUUGCCACUUCAUCUGAGCCGCAUAGGCAAGUAUGGCUCGUAUUGUAUCAUGUCUUGAGACAGGAGCAAACGUCUCAAGGUAGUCAACACCAUACUCUUGAGAGAACCCUCUUGCAACUAGCCGCGCCUUGUGCUUGAUGUGAUUGCCGUUUGCAUCGGUCUUGAUCUUGUAGAUCCACUUCACACUUAUCACAUUCUUCUUCUUUGGCUUGUCCACUAGUUCCCACGUCUUGUUCUUCUCAAUCAUGGCUAUCUCCUCAUUCAUUGCUUCUCUCCAUUCCUUGGUACCACACGCUUCAUCAUAAGUGUAUGGUUCUUCAUUUGCAUGAAGACAAGCUUCUAUAGCUUGAGCCGCUUCAUCAAGCUCUACUCUCGGUGCCCUUUCCAUGAUAUCAACCAUGGACUUGAACUUCCUUGGUGCCUCAGAAGUUUCUUCAUCUCCACUACUAGUAUCAUGAUCAUCAUUUUGAAAAGAAAUAGGACUGAAAGUACCUCCAAAUUGUUCCUCAGGACUGGAUGCACCUUCGGUUUGUUCCUCAGGACUGGAUGCACCUUCGGUUUGAUCCUCAGGCGAGUGAGAGUCUUCCAUAGACAACUCCAAUGUCUUCCUCACUUCUUCUUGCCUUUUCCAAUCCCACUUCUUUCCUUCUUCAAACUCGACAUCUCUUGAUACUUCAAUCUUCUCAUUCUCCAAAAUGAGAACUCUAUAGCCUUUGGAUUGGUUGCUAUAUCCAACAAAGACUCCACGCUUUGCCUUGACGUCUAGCUUCCUCCUCUUUUGAUUUGGGAUAUGUAUGUAGCAUAUGCUACCAAACAUUCUCAUGUGUGACACAUCUGGCUUGUGUCCACACCACUUCUCUAUAGGAGUGACAUCUUCUUCUAUUGCCUUUGAUGGCAGACGGUUUUGAAGAUAUGAGGCAGUGUAUACCGCUUCUGCCCAUAACUUGAGCGGUAAGUCUUGCUCUGCCAACAUCGAUCUAGCCAUCUCCACCAAGGUCCUAUUCAUGCGCUCCGCUGCACCAUUUUGUUGUGGUGAAUAAGGCAAGGUGACUUGCUUAUUGAUUCCUUCUUCUUCACAGAACCGGUUGAAUUCUCGUGAAGUGAACUCACCACCUCCAUCUGAUCUCAGUGUCUUGAUGGUACAAUCCGACUGCUUCUCCACCAUUGCUUUGAACUUCUUGAACAGUGAGAAUGUCUCUGACUUUUGCUUCAUGAAGUAUACCCAACACAUGUGAGUAUGAUCAUCCAAGAAUAGCAAAAAGUAUCGGCUUCCAUCAACAGACUGGUGCUGCAUCGGCCCACAUACAUCCGUAUGUACAAUCUCAAGCUUCUCUCUUGUCUUAGUUUGAGAUUCCUUUGGGAAGCUUUUGCGUGAUUGCUUUCCAAGUCUACACGCCUCACAUGCUUCCUUCUUGACUUUAAACUUUGGUAAUCCCUUUACCAAGUCUUUGUCUUGCAUUUGUUGCAACCUUUUGUCGCCUACAUGACCAAGUCUCUUGUGCCAUGUCUCCAUCUUUCCUUGCUCACUAGCGCUCAAGGCCUCUUCUACCUGAGCCGAACUCAUCCUGAUUCGAUAGCUUUUGUGAGUCAUUGGGAUAUCCAUUAUCCUCCUUCCUUUUGCAUCAUCUAUGAUGCAUCUCUUCUCUUGGAAACUCACCCGGUAUCCGCUUGAAACAAUUUGUGGAACACUCAACAAAUUUUUCGCCAAACCCGGAACCAAGAAUACAUUUCUGAUGGUCUUCUUGCCACCUUUAGUCAUGACGGUAAUGUCUCCUUUACCGGCUGUCAUGACUGUGCUUCCAUUUCCAAUCUUUAUUGGAACCUUGAUACUCCUAUCAAGCUUUGAGAAGUAACUCUCCUCCUUUGUCAUAUGAUUAGUUGCUCCACUGUCUACUAACCAGACAUCUUCCAUCACUGUUGUUGCUGCUUCGCUCGCACUGAACAACAUGUGAUCUUCAUUUGAAUCUUCUUCGAGACUCACAUGUGCCUUCUCUUUCUUCUUUGAGUAGCACUGAUUUGCAAAGUGGCCUAACUUGCCACAAUUGUAACACUCCUUGUUACUUCUGUGAUCCUUCUUUGGAUCUUCCUUCUUCUGUUUCCUCCAACACUCGCUCUCAUUGUGGUUGUUUCUCUUGCAGAAACCGCACCACUUCUUGCCUCCUUGGCGCUUUGAGUUGUCUUGUGUAACACCAGAAUUUUUGUGUUUAACACGAGCAUCGAAUGCUCCUUCACUGGUGCUUUCUUCUCUUGCAGCCAGCCUUGCUUCAUGAGCCUUCAAGAUCCCGAUCAACUCUGUCAUCUUUGUUGAAGUCAAAUCGCUUGUUUGCUCCAACACACUGACUAUGCUAUCGAACUUGGCUGGGAGAGAGAUGAGUAUCUUCUGUAUGAGUUGAACAUCUGACUUCUGUUCACCAUGAUAAGUUAAUUGAUUUGCCAAUUCAACUAUCUUAUCUGUGAAGACCUUAAUGUCUUCAUUCUCAUACAUCUUCAGAUUCUCAUACUCCCUUCGCAAUGUUUGAAGUUUAAUCAAACGAACUUGAGGAGAGCCUUCAUACUCCUCCUUCAAUGCAUCCCACGCCUCUUUGGAUGUUGAUGCUGCUGCAAUCCGUGAGAAUAUAUGAUCCGAUACAGCAGUUUGCAAGAUUUGCAAAGCCAAUGUAUCGUUCAUCAUCGCUUCUUCUCUAAGCGAUCUUGCCCUUGCUGUUUCAGGGGUUUCAUCCACUUGUGCUGGUGGGGCUGCUACGCCUUCUUCAACCACAGACCAUAACUUCCUGGUCUUGAGAAUGGUUGUCAUCUUGAUGCUCCAGAAGUCGUACUUCUCUCCAUCAAAUAUGGGGAUUACUUGAUUCUUCAUCGUUUCGAGUGAUUCCGAAAUCGUAUGACAAAAUCCUCUAGCCUCCUUUUCUCCACGCCAAGUGUUUCUCUUACUAGUGCUUUUUCCUUUGUCCUCUCAAACCUGAAGCUCUGAUACCAUGUUAAUCUUUUACCAACCGCUUGUGUUACACAACGAUCACAGUGUGUUACACACGAGUUCGAGAGAAAGAAUAAGAUAGACGUUUCAGGCUUAUAAACUUUUCUGAAAAUACUUUUGUAUUAUUGAGAUUCGGUAAUGUGUUUACAACAGAUGAUUGAUCUUUAUAUAGAGAUCGAAUCAAUACAAGUAUAAGAGACACAACUCUUUAUACUAAAGGACACAACUUGAAGAGUUACAACUCUUUGUGUAAUAACAUAAAUAACUAACUUAUGUAAAUGUAUCAAGGAGAGAUUAGAUUAUAUAGUUUAACACAGCCGCCGCGCACGCUCCUGUUUCCGCUUUACACCACCGCCUUUGAGAGACCUAGCCUGCAUUGUUUAGUGCUUUCGUGGAGUUUAUUUGUUCGUCUUUUGCGUUUUGUAUUCUAUACGUGAGGGAGUAAAAGUCACGAAAAUAGUGUACCUUUUACAGAUCCCCUUUGAAUGCGUGUUAAGCUCUUAAUGUUUUUGGGGCGGGGGGUUUGUAAUUUUUUGUUCACUCCUUAGGUCGAUAAUAUCGUAGCGUGUGAUUGGUAUUAUUAAAACAAUAGGUUAACUAAAUGUAUAUGUGUUCUCUUCUUUUACCUGGCUUGUAGUAACAUAAUCCUUAUGAGCAUGCGUUUUGUUGUUAACAAAUGCUAAACCCGU